Molecule: long non-coding RNA, 853 nt
Organism: Astyanax mexicanus (Mexican tetra)
Lineage: Eukaryota; Metazoa; Chordata; Actinopteri; Characiformes; Acestrorhamphidae
Exons: 3
Source: RefSeq, a predicted model, not a curated record
CUAACAAUAUUCCAGGUUAGCAUUCCUAACAAUAUUCCAGGUUAGCAUUCCUAACAAUAUCCCAGGUUAGCAUUCCUAACAAUAUCCCAGGUUAGCAUUCCUAACAAUAUCCCAGGUUAGCAUUCCUAACAAUAUCCCAGGUUAGCAUUAACAAUGUCCCAAGUUAGCUACUUAUAGGUUUAUGUUUGAGUAAAAUGAACAUUGUUGUUUUAUUCUUUAAACUACUGACAUUUCUUCUAAAUUCCAAAUAAAAAUAUUCUCAUUUAGAGCAUUUAUUUGGGGAAAAUGAAAAAUGGCUAAAAUAACAAAAAAGAUUGCAGAGCUUUCAGACUGUGCCAGGAUUAAUGAAAGCUGUGAUUAAAAAUCAGGGUAAUUCCAUCUGCAACCGCCUUACUCUUGCAAGAUUUUAACGUUGUAUAUCAUCGUAAAGUGCCACGUAAAUGCGAACACACCUAGUGUUGUCUCUGGUAGCAACAACAUAGCAACCAAUUGGGAUAUCAUAACAACCACCUAAGAACACCACAGCAAACUCCAAGGCAAAACAAUAGCGAUCACCUAAAAAUAUAACACAAUAAAACACAUUUGUUUUUACCAUAGCAGCUGCUUAGCAACACCUUAGUAACCAUCUUGUAUCUAUCUAGGUGCACCAGAGCAACAACCUAAGAACACCAUAUCAACCAAUUUGGAUAACAUAACAACGACUUUGCAACACUGUAGCAACUGCUUGGGAUACCAAAGCAACCACACAUCAACAUCAUAGCAAUUAACGACACCAUACCGACCACUGAGCAACACCAUACAAAAUUCUUCGAAUACCGUAUCAGCAAAGUAGUGACUUAAUAGAACUCUUUUA